Molecule: transfer RNA, 72 nt
Filed under: Capsicum annuum
Lineage: Eukaryota; Viridiplantae; Streptophyta; Magnoliopsida; Solanales; Solanaceae
Rfam family: tRNA
About the family: Transfer RNA (tRNA) molecules are approximately 80 nucleotides in length. Their secondary structure includes four short double-helical elements and three loops (D, anti-codon, and T loops).
Source: Rfam by way of RNAcentral
AGAUUUGUGGCACAAUGAUAGUGCAUCUGAUUUCAGAUCAGAAAGAUGCAUUUACGAUCCACAUCGGAUCUA